RNAcentral lists this ribosomal RNA (468 nucleotides) under uncultured bacterium. RNAcentral describes it as "partial 16S ribosomal RNA". It matches the Rfam family "Bacterial small subunit ribosomal RNA", at positions 28 to 507 of the family's 1533-position model. The record is from RNAcentral.
GACGAACGCUGGCGGCGUGCUUAACACAUGCAAGUCGAACGGAAAGGCCCUGCUUUUGUGGGGUGCUCGAGUGGCGAACGGGUGAGUAACACGUGAGUAACCUGCCCUUGACUUUGGGAUAACUUCAGGAAACUGGGGCUAAUACCGGAUAGGAGCUCCUGCUGCAUGGUGGGGUUUGGAAAGUUUCGGCGGUUGGGGAUGGACUCGCGGCUUAUCAGCUUGUUGGUGGGGUAGUGGCUUACCAAGGCUUUGACGGGUAGCCGGCCUGAGAGGGUGACCGGCCACAUGGGGACUGAGAUACGGCCCAGACUCCUACGGGAGGCAGCAGUGGGGAGUAUUGCACAAUGGGCGGAAGCCUGAUGCAGCAGCGCCGCGUGCGGGAUGACGGCCUUCGGGUUGUAAACCGCUUUCGCCUGUGACGAAGCGUGAGUGACGGUAAUGGGUAAAGAAGCACCGGCUAACUACGUG